GCUUCCGCUUCUACUGGUGAUAUGGGAAGGGCCCACUCACUGAACUAACUCCCUUCCCUCUACUCCCAGAGCCCGCCCGGCAGGACCACCGAGCAAGGCCUUGGAAAACCAGAGAGAUUAGAGCGCAGAAUGGGGAAAUGGAGAGAGAACCUGAAAGAGCCCCAAACUCGAGGACCUAUUGCUCCCCAAGAAUAACAUCUUCCAGAAGAACUAGACAGAAAACUAGGCGUCUGGGAACUCUGAAAUCCUUGGAGGAGUAGCAUCAUCAUGACCCUCUGUGUUCCUUUUGGCAAAGGACUUGCUCCCAUUGUUUGCUUGUUCCAUUGUCUGUCUGUUAAAUAAAUAAAACCCUUUUCAUAUAUCUUUAAA
RNAcentral lists this long non-coding RNA (369 nucleotides) under Homo sapiens (human). RNAcentral's name for it is "non-protein coding lnc-MFAP2-53:3". Lineage: Eukaryota; Metazoa; Chordata; Mammalia; Primates; Hominidae. The record is from RNAcentral.